RNAcentral lists this microRNA precursor (112 nucleotides) under Chlorocebus sabaeus (green monkey). Its description in RNAcentral is "miRNA (ENSCSAG00000021786.1)". Lineage: Eukaryota; Metazoa; Chordata; Mammalia; Primates; Cercopithecidae. The record is from RNAcentral.
GUUCGUCAUUAGAAAAUAAUAUUAGGUUGGUGCAAAAGUAAUUGCAGUUUUUGCCAUUACUUUCAAUGGUAAAAGCCACAUUACUUUUGCACCAACUUAAUAUGAUAAAUUU